UAUCCCAAGCGGGCUCUUCACUGUCAGCACAGAGCCUGAUGUGGGGCUUGAACGCAGGAACUGUGAGAUCAUGACCUGAGCCAAAUCCAAGAAUUGUAUGCUUAACCCAGGCACCCCCACGUGCCCCAUUCUUAUCUUGUGUUCUGAAAUUCCAUAAUUAGACAUUAACUUUAAAACUCCUUGUCUUAUUUUAAAAAUCAGUGGUGCAUUAUCUAGUAAAAAGAGAAUAGGGAGGAAAACAUUGUGCUGGUAGAAAGAUCCAGAUUCUCAAAAUCAGAAAAUCUGUAAGAAAUUUACUUUAAUUAUGCCAUACAUAUAAAUAUUUCAAAAACUAAAUUUUGUUUUGAAUGACCUGUGGGGGUGACUGUAUAAUGUCAAGAGCUUUUUAUUGCCUAGUGCUUUUUUAGUACAUUAGGUCUUAAUUUGAGCCUAGUUAAAAUAUAAAUACUCUUGGGAAACUAUCACUUUGUAUUAGUUUUCGAUUUUGUUGUAACAAACUACUACACAUUUAACAACUUAGAACAACAGCUAUGUAUUAGCUUCAUAAUUACGACUUGUCACUUCAUUUCUGGGCCUCAAGCUUCCAGUCUGUAAUAUGCUACGUGUGAAAUGGUGGUGUUUUUAACAGUGUUAUUAGUUUAGACUUUCUGAAACUUGGUUCCAAAGUCAUACAAUGUUCUCUAGUUGUAAAGAUGCUUGGCAUCCCUUAUAAGGAGUGAUGAAAGAACUGAGGAUGGCUCAUUAAAAUGGAACCCUAUUGAAUGUGCCCUGCCAACACAGUCCUGCAGGUCACCAUAGCAUCUGAAGGGUAGCUUUGAAAAAGUAAUUGAUGUCAGAGGAUGGUCAGGAUGAGGGUGGCCAGACUAGUGUUUCACAAGGUAGUUCAUUCGAGCUCUCUUACUCCCAAGCAUCUGGAUAGAACUCCCUGCCAUGCUUGAGGCUUUCAGAAAUCAAAGUAAAAAGCAAACAAUAGUAAGGCUUCUUAAUAUUUAGGAGCAGAACAUGUGUGGAAGAUACUAUUGCUGCCAACCAAUAUUUCCUGCUUUCCUGCCUUUAGACAACCAGUAUGAUUUUACUUCCCCAGCCUCUGAAGACGGAUGUUCCAUGUGAUCUUUUUGGUCAAUGAAAUAAGAGAAUCUAUUACAAGCCAAACAUCAAUCUCUGAAUCUAAAAUUUAGGACUGCACUUUAUGGAAAUUGAGCCUGUAUUGUUCUUCUGAACACCAGCCAAGAAUCUCCACACUGCAGAACAACCCAGGGGCUGAUCUGGUUUGCAAGAAUUCUUCCUCCUUAGAUGCCUGAGUUGUCCUCCAGAGUUUGGCAAAAUCAGACAUGAGCCUAUAGAGACAUGUUGAAUGGCAAGCACAAGGGCCAGAGAAGGAUCUGGAUUGCCCUCUGCAGGCAGAUGGCCUCUCAGGUGAGGAAGAGCCCAGCUCUGUCUCAGUCCCUGCUGAGACUUUGCCUCUCCAGCCUCGAUGCUAAUGGUUUAGCAGCAGAUGGGCAGGGGGAGCUCCACGAACUUCAUCACUGCUGUGUGCAUUUGGCACAGGGUGAGGGCUGAAAUAGCACAUCCUCUGUAACUCCCUGGCUCGGCAGUUUUUUGUUUUUGUGAUUAAUGUCCAGUGCAAAGGUGAGUAAUGUGGCAAUUCAUUGUAGUAAUUCGAGUUAUGGGGAAUAUAUGGACUCCUUUGCUCAGCAUCCUUUUCUCCAGCUCCUUGUCACAUAAAAAGAAUCAUUACAUUGGGAAUACACUGCCAUCAGCCACAGGACCAAGCAGAGAUACAACUCAUGUGCCCCAACUAUCUCUGCUGUCAGCUUUUCGAGCCCUUCUUUGUAGGACUGGACCAGGCUAACCUGACUCAAAGGGUAGUAAAGAAAGUUCUCAGUGCCUUCUCUUUGGCCCUACCUGUUUUGAGUACUACCUAAAAAUGACUAGUUGAAUCUAAAUGACCCACAACCUCUAGUAAAUUAAUUUCAAUUUUGUCUUAUAUUAUUAUCACCCCAAGGCAACUUUUGAGCUGGAGAAGUUUGGCUGGCUGUGGUAGGAGGACCUCCUGCUCCAGUAAGUCCAGGAAAGCAUGGCUGUUGUCAUCUGGCAGGGAUGGAAGUGCAGAUGAGCAGAGGAAAUGCAGAUAAGAGCCUUGGCCCCAGCUUCCAGAUUCAAGGGAAGUGGUAAGAUGCUCGCAGGGCUGAGGAACCCUAAGUCCACCAGCUUUGGGAGCAAGUGAUUGCACACACCUUAAAGUUUCCAUAGGUCUACAGGAAAGGAAGGGAAUUCCAUGGCUUUCCAUCUCCUGCUCUAGUCUCUGAGACUCCAGUGAUGUCGUGCAGUCCAGUCAUCUUAACUGGAAAGUAUUUCUGAAUUCAUUAGCUGGUGGGGUCUGCGACCUUGGGGUCUUCUUUCAGUAAUCCAAGGUAGACAUGUUGAAGUUAGAAGGAUAAAAGAGCACUUGGAGGGGAUUGAGCAGUAUUAUAGUCUUUCCAGAAGACACUCCCUUCCAGUGGAGAAGGGGUGUGAAGGUAAAGAAAGAGAGGAACUAGCUCAGCCCCUAUUGGUUACUUGCAUUUGGCAGGUAAGUCCCUACUGAUGCUCUGUGGGGAUGUGCAUGCCUCCACGUGUGUGCAUGUGAGAGAGGAGAGGAGGGGGACAUGCCUCUCUGACCCAUGGCACCUGGUCCCACUGGGAUUUCCUGCCACAUCUGGGUGUCUGCCACUCAGGUCUAGUCACCAAACCUGGGUGGGAAGGUUUGAGCAGAGGUGAGAAAGGUAGUCAUCUCCUCACUCCCUCCAUCAUCCCCUCUCACGGUGCUCAUGCUAGCGGCUGCCUGUGCAAAUGGAUCCGCUGCACUAGAUCUUAAGCCCAUGUCAUUAUUCCCAGAGAUGUAUGAACAACAUUACCCAGCUGCCAGCAAUGACAGCACGUGUUACCUUUAAAAAGCUCUUCUUCAAUCUUACAAUACCCAAAUUUCGAAAGAAACUUUCUGUGCAAUCUCUCUUCUGUGCUGCUGCACUGCACCCCUAGCCACAUCGAGGCUCUCUCUCUCUCCAGUGUGUGUCUGAUUGAAAAUUCAAUUCAACUCACUUCAAAUAUGCAUCGAGCACCUUUAUGUUGGCAGCAAAGAGGUAAAAGCCAUAGGGGAUACAAAAUAAGUAUAAAGCACAGUUUCUGCCUUCAAAAAGUCUGCCGUGCUAUUGGGAACAACAUGGAGAAACAACAGGAGACCAACAUGAGACAGAAUAUAUCUACUCAUCAGAAUGUGUUGUUCUGACAUUAAGUGCAUUGGAUAUUCCAGAAAAGGAGAUCUCAGUGAGGGCCAGAGUUGUCAGGGCAGAAAGCGUCUUGGAGAGGUCAGGAGCUGGUUUGGGACUUUGAAGGAUUGGGAGGAGUCGAAUAUGUAGCUGGAUCACAUACAAAAUUUUUCCUGUUAUUUCAGGUUUUCUACUGAAGCCUCAAAGCUGAAAACAACAUGACCUGAUUACUCCCACCACCUUUUUUUAAAUGUUUAUUUUAGAGAGAGAGACAGACACAGAGAGACAGAGAGAGAGAGAGAGAGAGAGAGAGAGAGAGAGAGAGAGAGAGAAUCCGAAACAGGUUCCAGGCUCUGAGCUGUCAGCACAGACCCCAACAACUCCCAGUCUUAAGUGCUCACCAAAGAGUUGUCAUAUGGAGGUGCCCUCACGUAGCCCUCACAUAACCCCAGUGUGGGACACCUGUCCCAUCAAGGCUGUUGCAUCAAGGCUGUUGCUGGUUAAAGGGGGACAGCAUGAGUUAUGUAAGAGGACCCCCUUCCCUCAUGGCUCUGCCCAGACCUCAGCUCUUAAGAAGCAAGAGAGACCAGGUACAGGGAGAUGGACAGUGGAGAAGAGGAGUGAAGCUGUUUCUCUGUUUCUCUGUGGUCAGUUCUGACUGGGAGAAGGGGAAAACCUUUAUAUUUCAUGGGCAGGACUUCCUCUGUCCUUAAAGGAAGUCUAAAUGGUCCAGAUGAGGCUCUUCUUGUAACUGACAGUACUGAGUAACCCUGGGAGUUGUUGUCCUAAGAUGCUGCCAGGGUGGGGGCAGGAAGGGAGAGAACACACAAUUCUAUUGAAGGGCAUCUGCCCCUGGGCCCUCACAGGGACCAGCAAACUGAUUCCAGAGAUAUGGGAGCACCAGGAAGGGCAAUUCAGGAAGGCAGAGGGGCCAAGUGGAUGCCAUGGGUGGAGUGGGCGUGGAGUGUUGGGGGUCUCGGUGACUCCGACUGUGGAAGGCCUGAGAUAGGACUUCAACAUCUUUGAGAGGAUUGACAGCAGAAGAGGUUAAAGCAAAUAAAAAAGGGGACCAUCCCAUUUCCCAAGUACGUUUCCUGGGAAGGGCUCCUUCUCCACAAUACCAUCUCUUCUUCUUUCCUGAGCGUCUCCAGCAGUUGGUUCCUUGUUGCCACGUAGGUCAGAGAGUCUAUCUUCCCCUAAUAUUCUCAUUUACCUGUUUGGAAACUGAGGGGGGUUCCCAGGAGGAGGGAUACCCCACGCCUUUUCCCCCACUUCCCACAGGGGCAGGAAAGACCCACUGAACCUGCACUUAUGUUACCCAAGUCAACUUGGCCCAGAGAUGGAAGUUUAAUUUCUUGUUUACAAGACAAAUGAGGAACAAGGAGGAGAGAGGCAGCGUUUUCUUGUUGGUAGGGCGUUGGGAGAGGUGACCCACCACAGUUCCCUGGAGAGUGGAUUUCCAGAGGGUUUUAAUUAUGAUCGCUGAGCUGCAGUUUGGAGAGACACAGCUGCUGAAAGGCAGCUGUCUUAUUUAUACUGCCGUCUGGCUGGAUUACAUUGCCUCUACAGCAGUGAAAAUUUUAGUCCACACUCUUGGAGGGGGGUGGUGAGAAAUACCUUGUUUUUAUAAAUCAAAUUUAUUCUGACUGUGAGCUUUAACUCUCUAGAGGGUGAGAAAUUAGAUCUCUGUCCUAUUUGGAAGGUUUGCCCCAUUUCCACUCAGGCAAACAAGGAUCAGGGCAGUGGGGAUGGCAGAAAGCCCUCUGGUCUACAGCCCAUCAUUGUGAUGGCUGUGGUUCUCACUGCUCAAAUUUACAAGGUUUAUUGAAAGGUGGGUGGCUACACUACUUCCCUGUCAAGCAGUGGCAUGCUGUCUUUGGCUACUGUUCUC
This is a long non-coding RNA of Felis catus (domestic cat), 5139 nucleotides long. RefSeq lists it as uncharacterized. The transcript is spliced from 4 exons. The record is from RefSeq and is a predicted model, not a curated record. Lineage: Eukaryota; Metazoa; Chordata; Mammalia; Carnivora; Felidae.